Long non-coding RNA from Prionailurus viverrinus (fishing cat), 345 nucleotides. RefSeq lists it as uncharacterized. The record is from RefSeq and is a predicted model, not a curated record. Lineage: Eukaryota; Metazoa; Chordata; Mammalia; Carnivora; Felidae. The transcript is spliced from 3 exons.
CACAAACAGCACUGAGGGAAUUCUACAAUGUCACCCAUGGAGAGCCUUUGAAAAGCAUCAGAUACUGCUCAAUCUGUAACACUCAAGAUCCCCCUUAAGGUUUGGAGACGAGGCCCAUGGAAGUGUUAUAGGACGGUGGAAGAGAUGCUGGUCCUUUUCUCAUGGAGUCCAAGAAUGAAUCUAGAGGACAAUAGAGACCAUAUUCGAAUUGAGAAUCCAUGACCCACAAAGGCAAGGAUAAAAAUCACACCAUGAAAUAGCUCCAAAGCUGGGAACACAGCCUGUAACUCCCUACUUACAGUCCAUGGGACUUCCCAGAAGACCAGACUGCAAUAAAUACAGCCA